Molecule: long non-coding RNA, 588 nt
Organism: Micropterus salmoides (largemouth bass)
Lineage: Eukaryota; Metazoa; Chordata; Actinopteri; Centrarchiformes; Centrarchidae
Exons: 3
Source: RefSeq, a predicted model, not a curated record
UUUGGUCCGCUGCUUGACUUACUGACCCUUUUCAGCCCCUCAGCUGCUUUAUUGCUGAAGUCUCAUCGUUCCCACCAACAAUAACAGCUUUGUUCAUUUUAACAAGAACAUAUGACUCUAAAACUCCUUACUCGGGCCAGUGGCGCAAUGGAUAACGCGUCUGACUACGGAUCAGAAGAUUCUAGGUUCGACUCCUGGCUGGCUCGAAACUUUUGACUGAAAAAUGUUCCAGCCAUCUAGCACUAAGAACCGAAACGGAAACUCACUGAAACAAGCGAUCAUUAUUAUACACAGGCUGAGAGAUCUGACUGCGGACAACAAGAUUGGCGGUUCGACUCCAGCUUAGGGCUGUACCCCAUCGAACUGUUUCAUAAUUUGGUCCCGCACAUUGGCCUGACUGCAACAAAAAGGUGAAGGCACCUGCAUAAGGUUAGGCUGGUUUUGCGUAUGGCGAUAUGGGAGAUUCUGAAGCAGGGAAUCACCAGACGCACCCACGCCAGGACCUGGGGAGCUUCCUGCGGCUAUUCUCAAAAGGACCAACUCUGCAUUCUGGCAAUUUAACUGAGCCUCACCUUUUCAUCCUGCCAC